RNAcentral lists this long non-coding RNA (344 nucleotides) under Hordeum vulgare. RNAcentral describes it as "long non-coding RNA (HVUL_LNC021724)". The record is from RNAcentral. Lineage: Eukaryota; Viridiplantae; Streptophyta; Magnoliopsida; Poales; Poaceae.
UCGUCAUCACCACGUCUACUUCAUCAUGAUGGGGUCGUGGAAGAGAGCGACAUCGAGAACGCCACGACGCAGCCCAUCGCCGAAGCCGUCGAGCCGGCGCCAUGAAGGACAGUGGAGCGGAGGUCAUCAUCACUCUGCGUCUACUUCGUCAAGCCGGAGCUGCGGAAGACGACGACAUGGAGCACACCACGACGCCGCCCACCGUCGAUGUCGUCAAGCCGGAGUUGCGGAAGACGAUGACAUGGAGCACGCCACGACGCCGCCCACCAUCGAUGUCGUCAAGCCGGAACUGCGGAAGACGACGACAUGGAGCACCCCACGACGCCGCCCACCGUCGAUGUCGU